This 497-nucleotide ribosomal RNA is filed under the name uncultured bacterium. Its description in RNAcentral is "partial 16S ribosomal RNA". It matches the Rfam family "Bacterial small subunit ribosomal RNA", at positions 28 to 507 of the family's 1533-position model. The record is from RNAcentral.
GAUGAACGCUGGCGGCGUGCCUAAUACAUGCAAGUCGAGCGAACGGACGAGAAGCUUGCUUCUCUGAUGUUAGCGGCGGACGGGUGAGUAACACGUGGAUAACCUACCUAUAAGACUGGGAUAACUUCGGGAAACCGGAGCUAAUACCGGAUAAUAUUUUGAACCGCAUGGUUCAAAAGUGAAAGACGGUCUUGCUGUCACUUAUAGAUGGAUCCGCGCUGCAUUAGCUAGUUGGUAAGGUAACGGCUUACCAAGGCAACGAUGCAUAGCCGACCUGAGAGGGUGAUCGGCCACACUGGAACUGAGACACGGUCCAGACUCCUACGGGAGGCAGCAGUAGGGAAUCUUCCGCAAUGGGCGAAAGCCUGACGGAGCAACGCCGCGUGAGUGAUGAAGGUCUUCAGAUCGUAAAACUCUGUUAUUAGGGAAGAACAUAUGUGUAAGUAACUGUGCACAUCUUGACGGUACCAAAUCAGAAAGCCACGGCUAACUACGUG